This is a long non-coding RNA of Scylla paramamosain (green mud crab), 854 nucleotides long. RefSeq lists it as uncharacterized. The record is from RefSeq and is a predicted model, not a curated record. NCBI's taxonomy places the organism in Eukaryota, Metazoa, Arthropoda, Malacostraca, Decapoda, Portunidae. The transcript has 2 exons.
GUUGGCUGCGGCACGGAGCGGUCCGCUGUGUUGCUCGGGAAGGCAGUGUGCGCCUGCGCGGUAACGUGGAGAGCGCAAGGUGAGGGUACGACGAGGCUUCAGAUCAGUGUCGGAGUGGAAAUACCUGGCGGACUGGGCUAGGGAGUGAGGGAGUGGGCGUGAGGCAUCGCAGGGCGGCCAUGAUGGUGAGGAGCAAAAAAAAGUGAUGCACAAUUAAUUACCGUGAUAAAGUUCAAUCACUCGGCUAGUCCCGCGGAUCGUGAGCCGCGAGAGCCACCACAUCGCGACCCCCACCUCCUGCACCGCCGUCAGGAUGCCGCUGUUACUCGAAGGACUUAGCGACGCGGUAUCCUGCAGGGUGUAGACCGUGCAAGAUGAAGGUGUCCUGCCCGUGAGGCGCCGCUGGUACGUGGACAGGCGACAAGUGUGAGCGGCGUGAAAGUGAGAACGCCGGCAGGAGUGUAAAGCAGUGUCUUGAUGCCGCCCCGGUCGCCGCCGCCGCCGCACCCGUGUUAGCAAUGGCGUGGAUGGAGCCACGAACCACCAGGCUGAUUGACGAGUUGCUCCUCCACCGCCGCCACCACAAACCCCGGCGUCGCCCUCCACUCAUGAUGAAGGUGAGGUGCCCGCUUGCCGCGUCGUUGUGAGGCCUGGCUGGCUUGUGUCUUGCCCACCAUCAACGCUUUCUCAAACACCUCGCCGUCCUGUCGCGUUUUCCAUUAGUUCUGGUGAAGGUAUUAGGGGUUUGCAAGUGUUUUACUGAUUCUAGUGAUCGUUUAACAAAUGUUCUGUGCUACCAGGAAGUUAUUGGGGUUUUCAAGGGUGUUUUCUUGAUUCUAUUGGUAGUUUAUCAA